UCGUCACACUAUCAUUAACUGAAUCCAUAGGUUAAUGAGGCGAACCGGGGGAACUGAAACAUCUAAGUACCCCGAGGAAAAGAAAUCAACCGAGAUUCCCCCAGUAGCGGCGAGCGAACGGGGAGGAGCCCAGAGCCUGAAUCAGCAUGUGUGUUAGUGGAAGCGUCUGGAAAGGCGCGCGAUACAGGGUGACAGCCCCGUACACAAAAGCGCAUGUGCUGUGAGCUCGAUGAGUAGGGCGGGACACGUGGUAUCCUGUCUGAAUAUGGGGGGACCAUCCUCCAAGGCUAAAUACUCCUGACUGACCGAUAGUGAACCAGUACCGUGAGGGAAAGGCGAAAAGAACCCCGGCGAGGGGAGUGAAAAAGAACCUGAAACCGUGUACGUACAAGCAGUGGGAGCACCCUUCGGGGUGUGACUGCGUACCUUUUGUAUAAUGGGUCAGCGACUUAUAUUCUGUAGCAAGGUUAACCGUAUAGGGGAGCCGGAGGGAAACCGAGUCUUAAUUGGGCGUUAAGUUGCAGGGUAUAGACCCGAAACCCGGUGAUCUAGCCAUGGGCAGGUUGAAGGUUGGGUAACACUAACUGGAGGACCGAACCGACUAAUGUUGAAAAAUUAGCGGAUGACCUGUGGCUGGGGGUGAAAGGCCAAUCAAACCGGGAGAUAGCUGGUUCUCCCCGAAAGCUAUUUAGGUAGCGCCUCGUGAAUUCAUCUCCGGGGGUAGAGCACUGUUUCGGCUAGGGGGCCAUCCCGGCUUACCAACCCGAUGCAAACUGCGAAUACCGGAGAAUGUUAUCACGGGAGACACACGGCGGGUGCUAACGUCCGUCGUGAAGAGGGAAACAACCCAGACCGCCAGCUAAGGUCCCAAAGUCAUGGUUAAGUGGGAAACGAUGUGGGAAGGCCCAGACAGCCAGGAUGUUGGCUUAGAAGCAGCCAUCAUUUAAAGAAAGCGUAAUAGCUCACUGGUCGAGUCGGCCUGCGCGGAAGAUGUAACGGGGCUAAACCAUGCACCGAAGCUGCGGCAGCGAACGUAUCACCCAAGACAACUUUACGGAGUUGACGAUUGACGGAGCGAAGCGACGUCAAAGCGUUCAUUAAAGUCGAGUUGGCUUAGGGAUACGUUCGUUGGGUAGGGGAGCGUUCUGUAAGCCUGUGAAGGUGUGUCGUGAGGCAUGCUGGAGGUAUCAGAAGUGCGAAUGCUGACAUAAGUAACGAUAAAGCGGGUGAAAAGCCCGCUCGCCGGAAGACCAAGGGUUCCUGUCCAACGUUAAUCGGGGCAGGGUGAGUCGACCCCUAAGGCGAGGCCGAAAGGCGUAGUCGAUGGGAAACGGGUUAAUAUUCCCGUACUUGGUGUUACUGCGAAGGGGGGACGGAGAAGGCUAUGUUGGCCGGGCGACGGUUGUCCCGGUUUAAGCGUGUAGGUGUGUGUUCCAGGUAAAUCCGGUUCACUUUAACACUGAGGCGUGACGACGAGGCACUACGGUGCUGAAGCAACAAAUGCCCUGCUUCCAGGAAAAGCCUCUAAGCAUCAGGUAACAUCAAAUCGUACCCCAAACCGACACAGGUGGUCAGGUAGAGAAUACCAAGGCGCUUGAGAGAACUCGGGUGAAGGAACUAGGCAAAAUGGUGCCGUAACUUCGGGAGAAGGCACGCUGACACGUAGGUGAAGUGAUUUACUCAUGGAGCUGAAGUCAGUCGAAGAUACCAGCUGGCUGCAACUGUUUAUUAAAAACACAGCACUGUGCAAACACGAAAGUGGACGUAUACGGUGUGACGCCUGCCCGGUGCCGGAAGGUUAAUUGAUGGGGUCAGCGCAAGCGAAGCUCCUGAUCGAAGCCCCGGUAAACGGCGGCCGUAACUAUAACGGUCCUAAGGUAGCGAAAUUCCUUGUCGGGUAAGUUCCGACCUGCACGAAUGGCGUAAUGAUGGCCAGGCUGUCUCCACCCGAGACUCAGUGAAAUUGAACUCGCUGUGAAGAUGCAGUGUACCCGCGGCAAGACGGAAAGACCCCGUGAACCUUUACUAUAGCUUGACACUGAACAUUGAGCCUUGAUGUGUAGGAUAGGUGGGAGGCUUUGAAGUGUGGACGCCAGUCUGCAUGGAGCCGACCUUGAAAUACCACCCUUUAAUGUUUGAUGUUCUAACGUGGACCCGUAAUCCGGGUUGCGGACAGUGUCUGGUGGGUAGUUUGACUGGGGCGGUCUCCUCCUAAAGAGUAACGGAGGAGCACGAAGGUUGGCUAAUCCUGGUCGGACAUCAGGAGGUUAGUGCAAUGGCAUAAGCCAGCUUGACUGCGAGCGUGACGGCGCGAGCAGGUGCGAAAGCAGGUCAUAGUGAUCCGGUGGUUCUGAAUGGAAGGGCCAUCGCUCAACGGAUAAAAGGUACUCCGGGGAUAACAGGCUGAUACCGCCCAAGAGUUCAUAUCGACGGCGGUGUUUGGCACCUCGAUGUCGGCUCAUCACAUCCUGGGGCUGAAGUAGGUCCCAAGGGUAUGGCUGUUCGCCAUUUAAAGUGGUACGCGAGCUGGGUUUAGAACGUCGUGAGACAGUUCGGUCCCUAUCUGCCGUGGGCGCUGGAGAACUGAGGGGGGCUGCUCCUAGUACGAGAGGACCGGAGUGGACGCAUCACUGGUGUUCGGGUUGUCAUGCCAAUGGCACUGCCCGGUAGCUAAAUGCGGAAGAGAUAAGUGCUGAAAGCAUCUAAGCACGAAACUUGCCCCGAGAUGAGUUCUCCCUGAGACUUAGAGUCUCCUGAAGGAACGUUGAAGACGACGACGUUGAUAGGCCGGGUGUGUAAGCGCAGCGAUGCGUUGAGCUAACCGGUACUAAUGAACCGUGAGGCUUAACCUUACA
This 2855-nucleotide ribosomal RNA is filed under the name Salmonella enterica subsp. enterica serovar Typhimurium. Its description in RNAcentral is "partial 23S ribosomal RNA". It matches the Rfam family "Bacterial large subunit ribosomal RNA". Lineage: Bacteria; Pseudomonadati; Pseudomonadota; Gammaproteobacteria; Enterobacterales; Enterobacteriaceae. The record is from RNAcentral.